Long non-coding RNA from Carassius gibelio (silver crucian carp), 595 nucleotides. RefSeq lists it as uncharacterized. Lineage: Eukaryota; Metazoa; Chordata; Actinopteri; Cypriniformes; Cyprinidae. The transcript is spliced from 3 exons. The record is from RefSeq and is a predicted model, not a curated record.
CACUCUAAAAAACGCUGGGUUGUUUUUUCAACCCAACUGCUGGGUUGAGGCCGUUUGAUAGGACUUUGGGAUGUUUUAACCCAAGUUUGGGUUGAAAAUAACUUUCUUUUUUAACCCAGCGGGGUGGGUUGAGGACGCGGACGUGAAGGAGAGCACGCACGUCACGUCAAAAUCGUACGUCUCCAGUGCGAGCAGCCGCCAUUUUCUCAGCGUGAUAGAAGCGAGAAGCGAGUGAAAGACUAUGACUUGUCCAGCUCCUGUCUUCAUUGUCCUUCUGUUAAAGACACAGAAGCUGUUUGUGUGAGGAGUCACAGACCUGUGUGAGGAUGAGGAGGAGGUGUUCUUCUGAAGAGAGGGACAGACGCUUUAAGGAGAGUAAACUUCAGAAUAACAUCAAGUUAUCUUUAUUUUUACUAAGACUAAAAUAAUGUGUGUGUUUUUUUUUUUAGAUGUUGAAAUCCAGAGACAAGAUAACUUCAUUCUUUUGAGACUGAUAACUCAAACUAACUGGAGUUAAGGACACACAAGUCUGCUUGUGUGAGGAGGUGGUUUUCUCAGCUUCUUCUGAAGAGAGGGAAAGAUCGUAUAAGGCAAG